AGGAUCAGUGAUGACCACUGGUGGGAUAUGAGUCGUAGAUGGUGACUAAACUCUGGAUAUCUGAGGUUCAA
This 71-nucleotide small nucleolar RNA is filed under the name Chinchilla lanigera (long-tailed chinchilla). Its description in RNAcentral is "Small nucleolar RNA SNORD113/SNORD114 family (ENSCLAG00000019169.1)". It matches the Rfam family "Small nucleolar RNA SNORD113/SNORD114 family". From Rfam's summary of the family: The imprinted human domain at 14q32 contains two clusters of tandemly repeated small nucleolar RNAs named 14q(I) and 14q(II) snoRNAs. Lineage: Eukaryota; Metazoa; Chordata; Mammalia; Rodentia; Chinchillidae. The record is from Rfam by way of RNAcentral.